Molecule: ribosomal RNA, 799 nt
Filed under: uncultured bacterium
Lineage: Bacteria
Description: bacterial SSU rRNA
Rfam family: Bacterial small subunit ribosomal RNA
Source: RNAcentral
UCGAACGAGGUGCUUUUGUAGCAAUACGAAAGUAUCCUAGUGGCGAACGGGUGAGUAACGCGUUGGUGACCUACCCCAAAGUGUGGAAUAACAGUCCGAAAGGAUUGCUAAUACCGCAUGUGGUCCUCAGGUUUAGAAACUGAUGACUAAAGGAGCAAUUCGCUUUGGGAGGGACCUGCGUCCCAUCAGCUAGUUGGUGAGGUAAUGGCUCACCAAGGCUACGACGGGUAGGGGACCUGAGAGGGUGACCCCCCACAAUGGAACUGAAACACGGUCCAUACACCUACGGGUGGCAGCAGUAGGGAAUAUUGCACAAUGGGCGAAAGCCUGAUACAGCAACGCCGCGUGUGCGAUGAAGGCCUUCGGGUCGUAAAGCACUUUUCUGGGAGAUGAGAAAGGACAGUAUCUCAGGAAUAAGUCUCGGCUAACUACGUGCCAGCAGCCGCGGUAAAACGUAGGAGGCAAGCGUUAUCCGGAUUCACUGGGCGUAAAGCGCGUGCAGGUGGCUUGGUAAGUUAGGCGUGAAAUCUCCCGGCUCAACUGGGAGAGGUCGUCUAAUACUACCAGGCUUGAGAGCAGAAGAGGAAGAUGGAAUUCCCGGUGUAGUGGUGAAAUGCGUAGAUAUCGGGAGGAACACCAGUGGCGAAGGCGAUCUUCUGGUCUGUUUCUGACACUCAGACGCGACAGCUAGGGUAGUAAACGGGAUUAGAGACCCCGGUAAUCCUAGCCGUAAACGAUGUGAACUUGGCGUUGGUGGGUUAAACUCCAUCAGUGCCGAAGCAAACGCGAUAAGUUCACC